CCUACGGGAGGCAGCAGUGAGGAAUAUUGGUCAAUGGGCGAGAGCCUGAACCAGCCAAGUAGCGUGAAGGAUGACUGCCCUACGGGUUGUAAACUUCUUUUAUAAAGGAGUAAAGUGAGGCACGUGUGCCUUUUUGUAUGUAUUUUAUGAAUAAGGAUCGGCUAACUCCGUGCCAGCAGCCGCGGUAAUACGGAGGAUCGGAGCGUUAUCCGGAUUUAUUGGGUUUAAAGGGAGCGUAGAUGGGUUGUUAAGUCAGUUGUGAAAGUUUGGGGCUCAACCCUAAAAUUGCAAUUGAUACUGGCAGCCUUGAGUACAGUAGAGGUAGGCGGAAUUCGUGGUGUAGCGGUGAAAUGCUUAGAUAUCACGAAGAACUCCGAUUGCGAAGGCAGCCUACUAGACUGCUACUGACAUUGAUGCUCGAAAGUGUGGGUAUCAAACAGGAUUAGAUACCCCUGUAGUC
RNAcentral lists this ribosomal RNA (460 nucleotides) under uncultured bacterium. RNAcentral describes it as "partial 16S ribosomal RNA". It matches the Rfam family "Bacterial small subunit ribosomal RNA", at positions 338 to 795 of the family's 1533-position model. The record is from RNAcentral.